GACGAACGCUGGCGGCGUGCUUAACACAUGCAAAUCGAACGGAAAGGCCCUGCUUUUGUGGGGUGCUCGAGUGGCGAACGGGUGAGUAACACGUGAGUAACCUGCCCUUGACUUUGGGAUAACUUCAGGAAACUGGGGCCAAUACCGGAUAGGAGCUCCUGCUGCAUGGUGGGGGUUGGAAAGUUUCGGCGGUUGGGGAUGGACUCGCGGCUUAUCAGCUUGUUGGUGGGGUAGUGGCUUACCAAGGCUUUGACGGGUAGCCGGCCUGAGAGGGUGACCGGCCACAUUGGGACUGAGAUACGGCCCAGACUCCUACGGGAGGCAGCAGUGGGGAAUAUUGCACAAUGGGCGGAAGCCUGAUGCAGCAACGCCGCGUGCGGGAUGACGGCCUUCGGGUUGUAAACCGCUUUCGCCUGUGACGAAGCGUGAGUGACGGUAAUGGGUAAAGAAGCACCGGCUAACUACGUG
This 468-nucleotide ribosomal RNA is filed under the name uncultured bacterium. Its description in RNAcentral is "partial 16S ribosomal RNA". It matches the Rfam family "Bacterial small subunit ribosomal RNA", at positions 28 to 507 of the family's 1533-position model. The record is from RNAcentral.